RNAcentral lists this ribosomal RNA (463 nucleotides) under [Candida] sp. RNAcentral's name for it is "Candida sp. (in: Saccharomycetales) partial large subunit ribosomal RNA". It matches the Rfam family "Eukaryotic large subunit ribosomal RNA", at positions 104 to 570 of the family's 3401-position model. The record is from RNAcentral. Lineage: Eukaryota; Fungi; Ascomycota; Saccharomycetes; Saccharomycetales.
AAAGCUCAAAUUUGAAAUCUAGCACUUUCAGUGUUCGAGUUGUAAUUUGAAGAAGGUAACUUUGGAAUUGGCUCUUGUCUAUGUUCCUUGGAACAGGACGUCACAGAGGGUGAGAAUCCCGUGCGAUGAGAUGUCCAAUUCUAUGUAAAGUGCUUUCGAAGAGUCGAGUUGUUUGGGAAUGCAGCUCUAAGUGGGUGGUAAAUUCCAUCUAAAGCUAAAUAUUGGCGAGAGACCGAUAGCGAACAAGUACAGUGAUGGAAAGAUGAAAAGAACUUUGAAAAGAGAGUGAAAAAGUACGUGAAAUUGUUGAAAGGGAAGGGCUUGAGAUCAGACUUGGUAUUUUGUGUUCCUUAUCCUUCUUGGAUUAGGUUCCUCACAGCUUACCGGGCCAGCAUCGGUUUGGAUGGCAGGAUAAUGACAUUGGAAUGUAGCUUUGCUUCGGUGAAGUGUUAUAGACUUUGUU